RNAcentral lists this long non-coding RNA (861 nucleotides) under Nicotiana tabacum (common tobacco). Its description in RNAcentral is "long non-coding RNA (NTAB_LNC013322)". The record is from RNAcentral. Lineage: Eukaryota; Viridiplantae; Streptophyta; Magnoliopsida; Solanales; Solanaceae.
UUAGGGUUUUAAACCCUAAACUGAACUCUUUCCUUCAGUCAGCAUUAGGAUUUUAAACCCUAAAUUGAACUCUUUUCCUUUAGUCAGCAUUAGGGUUUUAAACCUUAAACUGAACUCUUUUCCUUCAGUCAACAUUAGAGUUUUAAACCCUAAACUGAACUCUUUUCCUUCAGUCAGCAUUAGGGUUUUAAACCCUAAACUGAACUAUUUUCCUUCAGUCAGCAUUAGGGUUUUAAACCCUAAACUGAACUUUUUCCAUUUAGUUAGCAUUAGGGUUUUAAACCUUAAACUGAACUUUUCCCUUUAAUCAGGAUUAGGGUUUUAAACCCUAAACUGAAAUCUUCCAUUUAGUCAGCAUUAGUGUGUUAAACCUUAAACUGAACUUUUCCCUUUAAUUAGGAUUAGGGUUUUAAACCCUAAACUAAACUUUUCCUUAAUCAGCAUCAGGGCCCCAACCCUAUACUGAACUUUUCCCCAGUUGGUCAGCAUUAGGGUUUCAACUCUAAACUGAGCUCCUCCCCAGCUAGUCAGCAUUAGGGCUCCAACCCUGAACUGAAUUAUUUCCAUUCCACCAGCAUUAGGGCUUCAACCCUAAACUGAGCAUUCUUACAUUGUGGCAAUAUUAGUGAUCUAAUCCCGGAGUUGACAUUUUGUAGACUGAAAUCUUCCAAUUCCUUCAUCAAUUCUACAAAACUUCCUGGCAAAUAACUCACGAAAUUUUCCUAGUGAAACUGGGGCAGAAAAUUUCGUUCGUUUGUUUUUCCCCGCAGGUCUGACCUCGAGGCACAUGGAUCGAAACGACCCACGAGAUGAGCCUCAACCCAGAAUAAAAAAAGAGAAGAUGCUCCGAGAUGCUUGAAA